Molecule: long non-coding RNA, 179 nt
Organism: Octopus sinensis (East Asian common octopus)
Lineage: Eukaryota; Metazoa; Mollusca; Cephalopoda; Octopoda; Octopodidae
Exons: 3
Source: RefSeq, a predicted model, not a curated record
AUACAUGAGUGUGUGAGUCUGUGUUAAAUAAAAAUGAGACAAAGCCAACGCUGUGUGGAAUUUUCGGGGCAUUUAUAAAGAGAAAGUUAGUCUUAUAGCUGUUUCUGAGAUAUUAGGAAUAUCCUUUCUUCAGAGACGAUGUGAGAUGGUUAAAUAGAGGGAAAUAUUAUAGUUCAAUA